This 367-nucleotide long non-coding RNA is filed under the name Fukomys damarensis (Damara mole-rat). RNAcentral's name for it is "lncRNA (ENSFDAG00000023714.1)". The record is from RNAcentral. Lineage: Eukaryota; Metazoa; Chordata; Mammalia; Rodentia; Bathyergidae.
CUAAUAUAGAUAGAUAGAUAGAUAGAUAGAUAGAUAGGUAGAUAGAUAGAUAGAGGCAGGAAACAUGGCAUAGAAAUGAAGUCAUAAUGCACACUCUGCCUGAGCUGUCAAGCGUCAUGUUGAUGCAGACUAUCCUUGAACGCAUCAUUAAAUGAUGUCAUAAAGAAUUUUCCUAGGUUCUUGAGCGGAAGCAGUAAGAAAGGCAUUUCACUUUCCUUUUCAAUUGAUUCAGCAAGUACUGAUCACAAGUCAAGUUAGUAGGGGGCUAGUGCUGGUGACAGGCCAGCAAGGAGUAUUCAUCUUCAUUCUUGCUCAUCCUUUUGAAAAGCAACACGGCCUAUUCCUGUCCAUGCAUCCUGUUGUCUAG